Molecule: long non-coding RNA, 397 nt
Filed under: Rattus norvegicus (Norway rat)
Lineage: Eukaryota; Metazoa; Chordata; Mammalia; Rodentia; Muridae
Description: long non-coding RNA NONRATT012214
Source: RNAcentral
UGAGAAAACGAAGUUGAGAUGCAUGUAGCUUUAUGAUUCAGAAGUAUGGUUGUAAGUAUAUAGCUCACAUGCAGAGACAUAGUAAAGGUGCCCAUACAGCACCAACUUUAAUACAGCAAAACAUAAAGCACGGACAUCCAACUGUAGAACAGCAAGAAACCACAGAAUGUUACAGUGUGGGUUUUCAAAAACUUCAAGUUUUGCAUCUAAUUGUUAUGCUCAUUUGCAUGGGAAUGUAUUCCCAGCACUGGAGAGGUAGGGGCAGAAGGAUUGAGAGUUCAAACGCAGCCUACAUGAAACUGUUUGAAAACUAUAAAACACAGUUUGACACAGGUUACCUUUGAACAAAUAUUAAGAUUCAAAUGAGAAAAAUAAAUGAAAGUGUCAAAUGUAUAAA